RNAcentral lists this ribosomal RNA (2903 nucleotides) under Escherichia coli. Its description in RNAcentral is "23S ribosomal RNA". It matches the Rfam family "Bacterial large subunit ribosomal RNA". The record is from RNAcentral. Lineage: Bacteria; Pseudomonadati; Pseudomonadota; Gammaproteobacteria; Enterobacterales; Enterobacteriaceae.
GUUAAGCGACUAAGCGUACACGGUGGAUGCCCUGGCAGUCAGAGGCGAUGAAGGACGUGCUAAUCUGCGAUAAGCGUCGGUAAGGUGAUAUGAACCGUUAUAACCGGCGAUUUCCGAAUGGGGAAACCCAGUGUGUUUCGACACACUAUCAUUAACUGAAUCCAUAGGUUAAUGAGGCGAACCGGGGGAACUGAAACAUCUAAGUACCCCGAGGAAAAGAAAUCAACCGAGAUUCCCCCAGUAGCGGCGAGCGAACGGGGAGCAGCCCAGAGCCUGAAUCAGUAUGUGUGUUAGUGGAAGCGUCUGGAAAGGCGCGCGAUACAGGGUGACAGCCCCGUACACAAAAAUGCACAUGCUGUGAGCUCGAUGAGUAGGGCGGGACACGUGGUAUCCUGUCUGAAUAUGGGGGGACCAUCCUCCAAGGCUAAAUACUCCUGACUGACCGAUAGUGAACCAGUACCGUGAGGGAAAGGCGAAAAGAACCCCGGCGAGGGGAGUGAAAAAGAACCUGAAACCGUGUACGUACAAGCAGUGGGAGCACGCUUAGGCGUGUGACUGCGUACCUUUUGUAUAAUGGGUCAGCGACUUAUAUUCUGUAGCAAGGUUAACCGAAUAGGGGAGCCGAAGGGAAACCGAGUCUUAACUGGGCGUUAAGUUGCAGGGUAUAGACCCGAAACCCGGUGAUCUAGCCAUGGGCAGGUUGAAGGUUGGGUAACACUAACUGGAGGACCGAACCGACUAAUGUUGAAAAAUUAGCGGAUGACUUGUGGCUGGGGGUGAAAGGCCAAUCAAACCGGGAGAUAGCUGGUUCUCCCCGAAAGCUAUUUAGGUAGCGCCUCGUGAAUUCAUCUCCGGGGGUAGAGCACUGUUUCGGCAAGGGGGUCAUCCCGACUUACCAACCCGAUGCAAACUGCGAAUACCGGAGAAUGUUAUCACGGGAGACACACGGCGGGUGCUAACGUCCGUCGUGAAGAGGGAAACAACCCAGACCGCCAGCUAAGGUCCCAAAGUCAUGGUUAAGUGGGAAACGAUGUGGGAAGGCCCAGACAGCCAGGAUGUUGGCUUAGAAGCAGCCAUCAUUUAAAGAAAGCGUAAUAGCUCACUGGUCGAGUCGGCCUGCGCGGAAGAUGUAACGGGGCUAAACCAUGCACCGAAGCUGCGGCAGCGACGCUGAUGCGUUGUUGGGUAGGGGAGCGUUCUGUAAGCCUGCGAAGGUGUGCUGUGAGGCAUGCUGGAGGUAUCAGAAGUGCGAAUGCUGACAUAAGUAACGAUAAAGCGGGUGAAAAGCCCGCUCGCCGGAAGACCAAGGGUUCCUGUCCAACGUUAAUCGGGGCAGGGUGAGUCGACCCCUAAGGCGAGGCCGAAAGGCGUAGUCGAUGGGAAACAGGUUAAUAUUCCUGUACUUGGUGUUACUGCGAAGGGGGGACGGAGAAGGCUAUGUUGGCCGGGCGACGGUUGUCCCGGUUUAAGCGUGUAGGCUGGUUUUCCAGGCAAAUCCGGAAAAUCAAGGCUGAGGCGUGAUGACGAGGCACUACGGUGCUGAAGCAACAAAUGCCCUGCUUCCAGGAAAAGCCUCUAAGCAUCAGGUAACAUCAAAUCGUACCCCAAACCGACACAGGUGGUCAGGUAGAGAAUACCAAGGCGCUUGAGAGAACUCGGGUGAAGGAACUAGGCAAAAUGGUGCCGUAACUUCGGGAGAAGGCACGCUGAUAUGUAGGUGAAGUCCCUCGCGGAUGGAGCUGAAAUCAGUCGAAGAUACCAGCUGGCUGCAACUGUUUAUUAAAAACACAGCACUGUGCAAACACGAAAGUGGACGUAUACGGUGUGACGCCUGCCCGGUGCCGGAAGGUUAAUUGAUGGGGUUAGCGCAAGCGAAGCUCUUGAUCGAAGCCCCGGUAAACGGCGGCCGUAACUAUAACGGUCCUAAGGUAGCGAAAUUCCUUGUCGGGUAAGUUCCGACCUGCACGAAUGGCGUAAUGAUGGCCAGGCUGUCUCCACCCGAGACUCAGUGAAAUUGAACUCGCUGUGAAGAUGCAGUGUACCCGCGGCAAGACGGAAAGACCCCGUGAACCUUUACUAUAGCUUGACACUGAACAUUGAGCCUUGAUGUGUAGGAUAGGUGGGAGGCUUUGAAGUGUGGACGCCAGUCUGCAUGGAGCCGACCUUGAAAUACCACCCUUUAAUGUUUGAUGUUCUAACGUUGACCCGUAAUCCGGGUUGCGGACAGUGUCUGGUGGGUAGUUUGACUGGGGCGGUCUCCUCCUAAAGAGUAACGGAGGAGCACGAAGGUUGGCUAAUCCUGGUCGGACAUCAGGAGGUUAGUGCAAUGGCAUAAGCCAGCUUGACUGCGAGCGUGACGGCGCGAGCAGGUGCGAAAGCAGGUCAUAGUGAUCCGGUGGUUCUGAAUGGAAGGGCCAUCGCUCAACGGAUAAAAGGUACUCCGGGGAUAACAGGCUGAUACCGCCCAAGAGUUCAUAUCGACGGCGGUGUUUGGCACCUCGAUGUCGGCUCAUCACAUCCUGGGGCUGAAGUAGGUCCCAAGGGUAUGGCUGUUCGCCAUUUAAAGUGGUACGCGAGCUGGGUUUAGAACGUCGUGAGACAGUUCGGUCCCUAUCUGCCGUGGGCGCUGGAGAACUGAGGGGGGCUGCUCCUAGUACGAGAGGACCGGAGUGGACGCAUCACUGGUGUUCGGGUUGUCAUGCCAAUGGCACUGCCCGGUAGCUAAAUGCGGAAGAGAUAAGUGCUGAAAGCAUCUAAGCACGAAACUUGCCCCGAGAUGAGUUCUCCCUGACUCCUUGAGAGUCCUGAAGGAACGUUGAAGACGACGACGUUGAUAGGCCGGGUGUGUAAGCGCAGCGAUGCGUUGAGCUAACCGGUACUAAUGAACCGUGAGGCUUAACCUU